This is a long non-coding RNA of Schistocerca cancellata (South American locust), 741 nucleotides long. RefSeq lists it as uncharacterized. The transcript has 2 exons. Lineage: Eukaryota; Metazoa; Arthropoda; Insecta; Orthoptera; Acrididae. The record is from RefSeq and is a predicted model, not a curated record.
UAAAUAGCUGCCUGCCGCGACACUGUGCGACAGCCGCCUCUCGUCCGCUCUGCAGCCGCAACAGACUCGCACGCUCACCACCGCCGCCAUGAGGACACGCACGCUGCUGGUACUGCUGCUCGUGUUGGUGGCUGCGGCCACACUCGUUGCCCCCGCGGCAGCCUGGAGGUGGCCCUGGGAGAAACCGAAAAUUACAGCAGAGAUGAUCAAGAUGCGGCAGAGGUGUGGGUCCGGAACGGUGCGAGUCGGCAACUUGUGUAGGAGGGUCUACAUGGCAUGAGGUGGCUGGGGACAUUCUUAAUGUGGGCGACAACAGUUCAACAGAAUGGAGAAAGUGGAAGCUUUUAUAUGUAAAAAAAUUUUGUACAGUUAUUUAUAAUGUAAAUAAUAAAUGUAACACUUUUUUAAAAGAAUUCUCGUCAUUUAUUGGUGGUUUUCAUUUUGGCAAUUGUUUCACUGUUUUAAAGUUUUGUUCCUUGCAACUUGCUUUCCUCCGACUAUCCUUCCAUUUCCCCAGUGUUUAGGAAAUUAUUACUAAAUAUGGGUAAUAAUAAUAAAUUAAACGUUAUAUUAAAGAAAUUCAUGUUUCACUGUCUGACGUUUUCUUAUUUUAUAAAGUGAAUCUGUUUAAUGACAGUUAUCCAUUGGCUCCCUACUCUUGCCCUUCCUUCCAGUACCUAAGAUGGUUAACGAAGUUAAAUUUUUGAUGUUAAAAUGAAUAUAAGCGGUGAUUCUUACUCA